This 232-nucleotide long non-coding RNA is filed under the name Theobroma cacao (cacao). Its description in RNAcentral is "long non-coding RNA (TCAC_LNC006027)". Lineage: Eukaryota; Viridiplantae; Streptophyta; Magnoliopsida; Malvales; Malvaceae. The record is from RNAcentral.
CCUAGACGUGGGAUGCCCAUACGUGGGCUAGAACUUAGUAGGCAACUUGCACUCAUGAUUAUUGCAUAUUACUUUUGUUAUUGUGAUGCCUUUUAUGAAUUUGUCUUGUGUUUGUGAUGUUUGAUUAAGUUGUAAAUUAAACUUUAAGCUAUACGAUAGACAGGAUGGGUUAAUAGAUAGAAUAAAUCCAAAUGCAUUAAUUGAGUUUAAGGAUUAUAAAGAAAGAAUGGCC